This 880-nucleotide ribosomal RNA is filed under the name uncultured Gammaproteobacteria bacterium. RNAcentral's name for it is "bacterial SSU rRNA". It matches the Rfam family "Bacterial small subunit ribosomal RNA", at positions 34 to 873 of the family's 1533-position model. Lineage: Bacteria; Pseudomonadati; Pseudomonadota; Gammaproteobacteria. The record is from RNAcentral.
CCCAUGCGGUGCUUAUAAUGCAGUCGAGCGGUACCGCCUUUCGGGCGCUGACGAGUGGGGGACGGGUGCGUAACGCGUAUGAAUCUGCCGAUUUUGGGGGAGGAUUGCGGAAACUCGGGGGGCUCAUACCGCGCCCUACCGGGGAAAGCGGGGGACCUUCGGGCCUCGCGCUCAUCAAUGAGCCUGCGUUGGAUUAGAUAAUUGGUAGGGUAAAGGCCUUGAAGGCGACGAUCCAUACCUGGUCUGAGAGGACUAUCAGCCCCGCUGGGACGGAGACACGGCCCAGACUCCUACAGGAGGCAGCACUGGGGAAUAUUGAAGCAUGGGCGAAAGCCUGAUCCAGCAGUACCACGUGUGUGAACAACGCCUGAGGGUUGUAAAGCACUUUCAAUCGGUAGGAACAUUUGGUGGUUAAUAACCAUCCGUCUGACCUUACCGAUACAAAAGGUACCGGCUAACUCCGUGACGGCUCACGCGGUAAUACCGAGGGUGCAAGCGUUAAUCGAAAUUACGGGGCGUAGAACGUGCGAAUGCGGCCUGUUAAGUCGCAUGUGAAAGCCUCGGGCUUAACCUGGGAACUGCAUUCUGAUACUGGGAGGCUAGAGUUGCUAGACUCGAGUGUAAUUUCCGGUGUAGCGAUUGAAAUGUGUAUAGAUCAGAAGGAACAUGUGUGGAGAAACGACUCCCUGCAGUGAAACUGACGCUCAUGUACGUAAGCGUGGGUAGCAAAUCGAUUAGAUACCCUGAGUAGUCCACACCCUAUACGAUGUCACUACCACUUGGUUCUAUUUAUAUAAGAUGAGUGGACGCCGCUCACUCAUUAAGCUGACCCUCAUGCAGAGUACGGCCCGCCACUGUUGAGUCUCAACGCAAUUGCUCA